CGGAUUCAAUCCAUCGACCAUCUCGAUAAAACAGAUGAAACAAAUUAUUAUCGAGAUUAUUCAGACUGUUUCAAAGACCCAACAUGCAUUUUUUUUGCAUUGGGCUCUUUCAUAAACUGGUUGAAGGAUCAGUUAGUCCAUCACAAUUCUUCUUUAUGGAAAGAUAAUGAGAUGGCUCCCUGUGAUCUGAUUGACUUUUUUAUUAUGAAAUACUAUAUAUGA
This 222-nucleotide ribosomal RNA is filed under the name Triticum aestivum (bread wheat). Its description in RNAcentral is "partial small subunit ribosomal RNA". Lineage: Eukaryota; Viridiplantae; Streptophyta; Magnoliopsida; Poales; Poaceae. The record is from RNAcentral.